AGUGGAUGGGGAGCAACCUAGUUGUGCGUGUGUAAAGGUAGUGCCAAGAAAAGCGAUGAUCAUGUUGAAAAUCAAUUCCCGGUACCCGAAACCGACACAGGUGGGCAAGUAGAGAAUACUAAGGGGCGCGAGGUAACUCUCUCCAAGGAACUCGGCAAAAUGACCCCGUAACUUAGGGAGAAGGGGUGCCACCGAGAGGUGGUCGCAGUGAAGAGGCCCAGGCGACUGUUUAGCAAAAACAUAGGUCUCUGCAAACUCGAAAGAGGAGGUAUAGGGGCUGACGCCUGCCCAGUGCCGGAAGGUUAAAGAAGUUGGUCAGUUUUAGGAUGAAGCUAGCGACUGAAGCCCCGGUGAACGGCGGCCGUAACUAUAACGGUCCUAAGGUAGCGAAAUUCCUUGUCGGGUAAGUUCCGACCCGCACGAAAGGCGUAACGAUCUGGGCGCUGUCUCGGAGAGAGGCUCGGCGAAAUAGGAUUGUCUGUGAAGAUACGGACUACCCGCAUUUGGACAGAAAGACCCUAUGAAGCUUUACUAUAGCUUGGAAUUGUGUUCGGGCUUCCUGUGCGCAGGAUAGGUGGGAGGCGUAGAAGGUAUUCUUGUGGGGAUACUGGAGCCAACGGUGAGAUACCACUCUCAGGAGGCUAGAAUUCUAACUUAAUUAAGGACAGUUUCAGGUGGGUAGUUUGACUGGGGCGGUCGCCUCCAAAAAGGUAACGGAGGCGUACAAAGGUUCCCUCAGACUGGUUGGAAAUCAGUCGAAGAGUGCAAAGGCAGAAGGGAGCUUGACUGCGAGAAGUACAGUUCGAGCAGGGUGGAAACACGGUCUUAGCGAUCCGACGGUGCUGUGUGGAAGGGCCGUCGCUCAACGGAUAAAAGUUACUCUAGGAUAACAGGCUGAUCUCCCCCAAGAGUUCACAUCGACGGGGAGGUUUGGCACCUCGAUGUCGGCUCAUCGCAACCUGGGGCGGAAGUACGUCCCAAGGGUUGGGCUGUUCGCCCAUUAAAGCGGUACGUGAGCUGGGUUCAGAACGUCGUGAGACAGUUCGGUCCAUAUCCGAUGUAGGCGUGAGAAUAUUGAGAGGAGCCUUCCUUAGUACGAGAGGACCGGGAAGGACGCACCGCUGGUGUACCUGUUAUGAUGCCAAUUGUAAACGCAGGGUAGCCAAGUGCGGAGAGGAUAACCGCUGAAAGCAUCUAAGUGGGAAGCCCACCUCAAGAUGAGUAUUCUGGUGUAAGGUCACGGGAAGACGACCCGUAAAUAGGCACGAGGUGGAAGUGCAGAGAUGUAUGAAGCCGAAGUGUACUAAUAGACCGUCGGCUU
Molecule: ribosomal RNA, 1321 nt
Filed under: metagenome
Description: bacterial LSU rRNA
Rfam family: Bacterial large subunit ribosomal RNA
Source: RNAcentral